GUCCUCCCUCCCCAACCCCCAUCUGCGCCCAUCCCGGUCCCACUUCCCCAUUCCCGACAGUGCCCCGGGGAGGUGCCCCGGGGAGGUACCCCGGGAAGGAAGGGCAGUGGGAGGCGCCCCUGGAGGCGCGCCGCCGCCGCCAGGCAGCCGGGGCUCAGUCCCACACGGACCCCGGCUCCGCGCCGUCGACGGCGAGAGGGGCUGCGGGCCCCUCCCCCACUCACCGGCCGCAGCGGCGCUCCACGUCUUCGGAGGCGGGCCCGACGGCCGGCGCCACGGGGAGGCAGAGCCGCGGACGCUGGAGGCGGGGGGCGGGCCGAGGCCUGCAGGGAGGGCGCGCCGGGCGCUGGGUGUGGUGGGCCUGGCGGGGCCCAGACUCCAGGGUGCGCCGGCUGGGCCGGACCACGUCGGGACAGGCGGGGCCCAGCACUGCGUCGCCCUGAGCGGGGCGGGGCCUAGUGGGGAGUCCCUCCAAGGCUGGGGCAGGAACGGCUCCGGAGAAAAGUAUCCGACUUUCCUCCAGUGACACUGUCUUCAAACCCAGCCGGGUCAGACCCGGCCCCAGAGUUCCAUCUUGAGCGCCCGAUGCCUGCGACCAUCUCUAAUACCAAAUACAGCAAAACCUUGGAUUGCAAAUAACGUAUCUUGUGAGUGUGGCACAAGACAAGCAUUUGAACUUGAUAAAUGAGCAAUGUCUUGUAAUAGGAGUAGGACGUGAUGCCGAACGUCACAUGAUCACAACUGAGCCAAUGGUCCUUGAGAUUUGCUUUGAUCCAGGAAUGCUUUGGAUUCUAAGCAUGUUUCCGGAACAAAUUACGCUUGCAAACCAAGGUUUUGCUGCAUGUGCGUGCCGGGGUCAGAUCCACCCACAGCCACUGCCUGAAUGCGGAGAGUGAACACCUUAAAAUGGGACUCUGUGAUCUCAGAGUUGGAUCCAAAAGCUGCCACAACCGUUACUGCUUCUUGGCACCCAGGAAGCUCAAGAAGACACUGGGACUUGCACAAAGAAACCCACCACCUUCCUCUCCAGUGGGAGGGCCAGGAGCCCUAGGAAGAUGGUUUCCUAAUUUCCACUACCUGACUUCAAGUGAGCGCGUCUAACUAAAGAGCCCGGUGUUAUCUCUAGGCUUCCAACCACUAGACCUAGAACAUCUUCACGUAAACCUUGCCCAUUUCUUAUGGAGUUUCUUCCUAGACAUUUACCUUUCUCAUUACGUGUGUAAAUGAGAACUUUUCUUCCGGUAUAGCUUUGUUUGCUGUUGCCUAUCAUAUGAACGUUAGUUUUUGUAUAAUAGUUUUAUGACCCAAAUAAAAUCUUUUAGAGUUUAUAGUAGUUUAGUUCU
Molecule: long non-coding RNA, 1343 nt
Filed under: Felis catus (domestic cat)
Lineage: Eukaryota; Metazoa; Chordata; Mammalia; Carnivora; Felidae
Description: lncRNA (ENSFCAG00000050719.1)
Source: RNAcentral